AGAGCGAACGCUGGCGGCAGGCUUAACACAUGCAAGUCGAGCGGGCGUAGCAAUACGUCAGCGGCAGACGGGUGAGUAACGCGUGGGAACGUACCUUUUGGCUCGGAACAACACAGGGAAACUUGUGCUAAUACCGGAUAAGCCCUUACGGGGAAAGAUUUAUCGCCAAAAGAUCGGCCCGCGUCUGAUUAGCUAGUUGGUGAGGUAACGGCUCACCAAGGCGACGAUCAGUAGCUGGUCUGAGAGGAUGAUCAGCCACAUUGGGACUGAGACACGGCCCAAACUCCUACGGGAGGCAGCAGUGGGGAAUAUUGGACAAUGGGCGCAAGCCUGAUCCAGCCAUGCCGCGUGAGUGAUGAAGGCCCUAGGGUUGUAAAGCUCUUUUGUGCGGGAAGAUAAUGACGGUACCGCAAGAAUAAGCCCCGGCUAACUUCGUGCCAGCAGCCGC
Molecule: ribosomal RNA, 448 nt
Filed under: uncultured bacterium
Lineage: Bacteria
Description: SSU rRNA
Rfam family: Bacterial small subunit ribosomal RNA
Source: RNAcentral